Molecule: non-coding RNA, 125 nt
Organism: Triticum urartu
Lineage: Eukaryota; Viridiplantae; Streptophyta; Magnoliopsida; Poales; Poaceae
Source: Rfam
AAUAUACUCCCUCUGUCCCGAAUUAUUUAUAGCAGAAAUGAAUAAAAAUAGAUGUAUCUAAAACUAAAAUAUAUCUAGAUACAUUCAUUUCCGCGACAAGUAAUAUCGGACGGAGGAAGUAUUUA